AUCGGCUACACGAAGUUCUUCGUCAUCGUCGUUCUGUCCCAGCUAUUGGACCGUUUGACUAGCAGUCUGCCUUCAGGCAUCGCGCUGGAAAGACACGCGACGAUCUCUCACGGUGACAAAGUUUUAAAGCAAACUGAAAUUGCAGAGUGUGUUUUUGUUUUCAUUUUGGCGCCGCCGGUUCGGUUCGGUUCUGCAAAUCGAGGUCACGUUCCUUCCAAGACGUGAUAACAAGCUUGUAUAUAUUUAUUCGGCGGCCUUUGAAGUGUUUGUGUGCAGGUUUAUCUGCUCACAUGUGACAAACGAGAGUAAUCAAUGUAAUUGGGAGAGUGACCCACGUGAGCUCCGAAAUCGCUGCCUAAUGAUGAUGAAGUCACAAAACGCCGUCAAUAAGAGACGGGGGGGGGUCAACGAGUCACACUGAAUGCGUGAACUUGCGUGGUUGAAUUGGAAUAAAUGAAUGAGUGACUAAACAUUCCUGCCAUCCGACGACGUAAAUUUGCAUGACGAAAUGGACCUUAGUUGAUGUGUCCUGUCUUCUUCCAUUUCUGUUGACUGUUUGUGAGCACACCGUCGUUGUCGUAAUCUAAGUUUCUGAACAGAUAACAAGCCGAUUUUUUUUCAUGGCUUCAUUAGAAGUGACCUUUUGCAUUUAGAAGAAUGCAUCAAGAAGAACCUAAUUUGCUUGAAAAUUGAACAUUUUUAAGGGUUGUUGCUGAAGCGGAGAACAAUGAAAGUUCAACUUUAAAUUGGCAAAUAUAUCAUACCAUGUUGAUUUGAUUGCUUUUCUACUGACGACGCCAAUCUUUUCUCUUAUCAGAGACAGUGAGAGUGCAGGUUAUACAGUGAUAAAAACGGCCUGUAGAAUUGUGAUCAUUUGGAUUUGGUUGUGUUUUGUUUUGUGAAAGAUGAAAAGAUAGUGUUAAUUGGAGCAACUUGAAUAAGACAGUUGCAUUAUAUUGCAUUUCGAUCCUCUCAGACUACCCUUGCUUGGAGGUUGU
This is a long non-coding RNA of Culex quinquefasciatus (southern house mosquito), 998 nucleotides long. RefSeq lists it as uncharacterized. NCBI's taxonomy places the organism in Eukaryota, Metazoa, Arthropoda, Insecta, Diptera, Culicidae. The transcript has 2 exons. The record is from RefSeq and is a predicted model, not a curated record.